UCCGAUUACACGAAGAUGAGCGUGCUCAGGGAAAGGGCCGACCCGCUUCUUGUUCACCACGGCGCUGUCGUCGGCCACACGAAGGACAAGGCGGACCUAGACGAGUACGGCUAGGGGCCUCGCUGCUGCGGCCUCCGCAACCAUAGACCCAAUCACUUAGGGAAGGAUAAAUCAACAAGAACCAGUUUUUAGAUUAGAUCGCUCGAGCGGGGCCAGCGGCCACGAUGUCUAGCUAGAACCGACGAUCCCUACGUCACCGCGUACUCCGCGGCACGCAAAACCCGCCCCCGCCGCUGCGACACGGGCUAAGCCGGCGACCGAGCAGGCUAAGCCGGCAGCCUGGCCAGAGCGGCCCGCACGCAGUCAACCUAGUUCCCCACCCGAACCGACUACCGUUCAAAAGGCCCCGCAGGACGUUGUGGAAGUCGAGACCUCCGCCAGGCAGCUCAGCCCGCCGGCGUCACCGCGCCGCCUAAGCACGUGCUGUAAGUCAAGACCCCCGCACCGCUGCUCAGCGGCCGGCAGCAGAGCUCGACGUGUUACGUCAGGGAUGCAGUGUCGCCGGGCCGAAACCGAUUGUGGUGGUAGGCGCAUCCGACCUUCGCCUCCAUGUACGAUUAACACGACAGCGGAACCCGUUUAGACAUAAAUGAACUAGCGUAAGCAUGCUCGACUACUCUCUUCAAAGUGAUCAAACCGGUUUAACCCCUAUUUCUGACCGCGAGUUAGUAGGGACCGACUUUUCAAGAAUCAUCGAUAGGAAUUCGGCAUGGCGUAGCAAGCAAACCACUUUUAAUAGUAACGGUGACGUAUUUUUUUGCCAAAUUCAAGGCAACUGUCUAUUACUAACUUAACGACGACGACCCUUGGUCAACUUAACAUACCUAUUCAAUGAAACAGGUUUUAAAAGUCAGGGAUUUGACCAAUAGGUAACCGUACAACCGUAAUAACUCACAAGUUUGUUACGUUCCCCCUCCUACAUGAAUCACGUCAGGUUAAGCAUCUUCAAACCACCGAAAAAAAGGUCGUCAGACUUACAUACUAUACCCCUUCUUAUUUCAGACUUAGUUAGUACGGCUUUUUCCUAGGAUUUAGCUAAAAACAUUAAUACUUGGAUACAACGUCGUCAAACACCAGAAAAAUAAGACGAUAGGCACCAUCAAUAAAAAGUAUUGAUACAACAAACACGAAAAGCUUUGCGUCCGGUUCUCCAGGAGCACGCGGUCUGCUCUCCCGACAUCAUCGACUGGCACAAGGCGGUAACCUUCGACGAUAAUCUCCUAAGCGACUAUCCCCCUGACUACACCCGCAGUUGGGCCACGAACCGUGAUAAAAACUAAGCGACCAUCUCCGCAUACUUAAGAUAUUAGAUAUAAGUACCCUCCAGCCGAAACCCUAAGCAAUGCCGUUCUCGUCCGUUUUACAGUUACCCUGUAGAUCAGGAGCAGAGCCGCGUGGAGCCCGUGUCCUAGUUACCGUCGUCACCGCCCCCCGACGCCUCUGCUGCGCGUCUUCUACUCGAGACCCUGUGGAACCGUGCCGCCGCAGCUACCUAGUGCCGUUGAUCGACACGAACACACGAACAAACUUGCUCUUGCAGGUUUUGUUAGCCAUGACCCUGUUGCCGACCACGUACCCGGAAUUUAUGUACGUAAACCCCAUUUCACAAAUGUAAUGUGUAAACAAGCAGCGUUGCCAUUAUAACACAGGAAGUAGGACGCGCGCGUUUCACGAGGCGUCCACACGCAGUCAGCGGCCAGUCACGCGCUAUGUGGCUUAUAUCGUUAUGCUUUGUGUCGCGAGCGAAACCGGCGAGAUAUGCGGUUCAUCGUGAACGUCGACCAGGUUUAGCGCUUCGUCAUGGUCGGCACCUACGCGACGCACGUCGGGACGUGAAGAGUACAUUUCAGCACAAUAGAAGUCACAAUAUGAAGAGAAAGAUCACUUAGUGUGCAACGGGGUUAGGAGGGCUCGCUGCCUGUCUAUAAUUCCGGGACAAACAAAUUAUUCAGUAUCCUGAAAAAAUUCAGGGUUGAAUAUUCAGUAUUCAGGGAUGGACAAACAAAUGUAGCUGAAUAUUCAGGGCUCAGGGACGGACAAACAAAUGUCCCUGAAUCCGGGACAAACAAAUUAUUCAGUAUCCUGAAAAAAUUCAGGGUUGAAUAUUCAGUAUUCAGGGAUGGACAAACAAAUGUAGCUGAAUAUUCAGGGCUCAGGGACGGACAAACAAAUGUCCCUAAAUAUUCAACUAUUUUGUGAACAAGUGUAUUGGGAAAAAGUAUGUUUGCUUAAUGUCUUAUCACUGUUGGCUUUAUUGUGAACAAGUAUGUUUGCUAAUUGUGAACAACUGC
This 2351-nucleotide ribosomal RNA is filed under the name Triticum aestivum (bread wheat). RNAcentral describes it as "partial small subunit ribosomal RNA". The record is from RNAcentral. Lineage: Eukaryota; Viridiplantae; Streptophyta; Magnoliopsida; Poales; Poaceae.